RNAcentral lists this ribosomal RNA (449 nucleotides) under uncultured organism. RNAcentral's name for it is "partial 16S ribosomal RNA". It matches the Rfam family "Bacterial small subunit ribosomal RNA", at positions 332 to 797 of the family's 1533-position model. The record is from RNAcentral.
UACACUCCUACGGGAGGCAGCAGUGGGGAAUAUUGGACAAUGGGCGCAAGCCUGAUCCAGCCAUGCCGCGUGAGUGAUGAAGGCCCUAGGGUUGUAAAGCUCUUUCACCGGUGAAGAUAAUGACGGUAACCGGAGAAGAAGCCCCGGCUAACUUCGUGCCAGCAGCCGCGGUAAUACGAAGGGGGCUAGCGUUGUUCGGAUUUACUGGGCGUAAAGCGCACGUAGGCGGACUAUUAAGUCAGGGGUGAAAUCCCGGGGCUCAACCCCGGAACUGCCUUUGAUACUGGUAGUCUUGAGUUCGAGAGAGGUGAGUGGAAUUCCGAGUGUAGAGGUGAAAUUCGUAGAUAUUCGGAGGAACACCAGUGGCGAAGGCGGCUCACUGGCUCGAUACUGACGCUGAGGUGCGAAAGCGUGGGGAGCAAACAGGAUUAGAUACCCUUGUAGUCCCA